UACGUAGGGGGCAAGCGUUGUCCGGAAUCAUUGGGCGUAAAGAGCGUGUAGGCGGCCUGGUAAGUCCGCUGUGAAAGUCCAGGGCUCAACCCUGGGAUGCCGGUCGAUACUGCCGGACUAGAGUUCGGAAGAGGCGAGUGGAAUUCCCGGUGUAGCGGUGAAAUGCGAAGAUAUCGGGAGGAACACCUAUGGCGAAGGCAGCUCGCUGGGACGUUACUGACGCUGAGACGCGAAAGCGUGGGGAGCAAACAGG
Molecule: ribosomal RNA, 253 nt
Filed under: uncultured bacterium
Lineage: Bacteria
Description: partial 16S ribosomal RNA
Rfam family: Bacterial small subunit ribosomal RNA
Source: RNAcentral